Molecule: RNA transcript, 6147 nt
Organism: Athalia rosae (coleseed sawfly)
Lineage: Eukaryota; Metazoa; Arthropoda; Insecta; Hymenoptera; Athaliidae
Exons: 5
Source: RefSeq, a predicted model, not a curated record
UCUGGAAGCGAAAAGUAGAGGGAAAAAAAAUCAUUUCAGCAAACUAGUAUCAGUCGAUUUCCAGGGAUUCUGGAAAAUCCAAAGAUACAAAAGACCAUUCGGCACUUAUUUCAAAACUGUUUAUUUGCUUGUAAUCGAAAAUAUUUGCGUGACUAUUAGUGGUUCAAAGAUACCGAAGAAUUAAGGACCCUAAUUUACACCACGUCGUGCGUCACUGAUCCGCAUACAAAACUCUGGCUCGGUACUAAACCGCUUUGCCUAAUUGCGGUUUAAUUAUAAUCAACCCCGACCUAAUUGGACCAUCAAUUUAUUUACUUGGAUGAAAAAAGAAUUCAUUGUGCUCAAGCUCCAUUCCUUAACGUAAUUCAACCCAUAUCCGAGAUAUUUGCAGAGCGAAUAAAAAUCCAGCACAAUUCGCAAUCGGAUCACGUGAAGAUAAAUUUUGUAUCAAGCCAGGUGUCCGUAGCGCACUGGUCUGCGCUGCGGGUCAGUUUAGGAAGUUUUAGUUUUUGAAUACUUGGUGUGAUCUCGCGGUUCUAGAAACUCGACUGCACGUCGGCGGGUACGUAUAGGCGGGUUUCUACAGGUGCAUCGAAGUUCACACGUAAUACUAGAGUUGGAACGUAGGUGGGUAUAAGAUAUCCUCGAAACGUAAAAAUUUCAUGACCCAAUUCAAAAGAUCCUGUGCCCGAACGCGAGCAACUGCACCAGUCUUCCCAAUAAACCGAAAACAUGCCGUGGAAUUCAGGUAUAAAACGGAGGGUUGAGAACUUGGGCUGAGAAUCUUCACCAAAUGCCCGAUUUACAACCACGAUCUUAUUUACAACGGCAAUAAAUGCCGAGUAAUCGCUUCGAGGGGUGGAAACAAGCGAAGUGGAAGUAACGAGUUGCGACCCUAAACAUUACAUAAAAGUAUAGGCUACGCGAAUAUUUGCAAAUGCAGUGACUUCCUUUCAAACAAAUGAUGAAGCUGCACCUCGAAAAAACAAGAAGAAAAUGAGGAACGUCUUCAUCGUCGUGCUCUUCAUAGUCGAGAGUUAAAAUUGUCCAACAAUCCCAAAUAUAUCUUUCCCAAUCGCACAAUGGAAAUUUCGCCUAGAUGACACAACGAAACUAGAUGGAAACACUCGUUGAAGGUCUCUACACGGAGGCUUUUUGACGCUUUCAACGAGAAAAUUCUGUAAAAAUUAGUAAAUUUUUCAUCUCUACGAAACUAUUAUUCCGGGCUUGUUCCAGGAUUUCGGGACUAGCAUUGUCAUGGAAACGUCAGGAUGAGAUAAAAAUUAAAAAACUCAUCUCCACGAGACUUUGACGAGCGGCAGGUUACUCCGAGGAAAUGGAAAUUAGAUGUCACUUAAAUAUUUUCACAGAUAAAAUGUAACAAUUGGUUUUCAAUCCAAAUAUGUUUCCCAUGUGGUUUCAGUCAGCGGCGCUGGUUUCUGGUCAGCUUCAUCUUGUUUCGGAUUCCCUUCAGGUUCACCCAUAUAAUUUCAGGUAUUAGCCUACCUUCUGGUUGCGCUCUUUCCACGCGUUCCUAAACUCAGGAUCACGUAUCGCUUUCUGAAAUUUCUUCCAUUACACGGAUCUUCCGAAAAUUGAGUAGGCCUAUGCAAAUACGCAUGUGUAAUACAUUUCGCGUGCGCUGUCGAAACGUUGAUCCUCGUGGCUUGGUAACUUGGAAAAGCGAAUCCGUAAAAUGACUCAAAUAGAUUCGAGUCAAAUGUCAAAUGUGCAAGUGCAUGGCUUACGUUAAUUCAGUUUAAAACGCGAGUUAGUUAUAACGUGAGAAUCGUAAAAUAUAAUUGUACAGCUGCACGCGAAUUCUCCAUCCUAUCGUUGGUCGGCUGUGUAAAAGGUGUAAAAGAGGAAUUGCGCUCAUUUCGUUCACUAGUUCCUUUCCACGUGGUGAACCACCAAUUUAAAUUUACUAGGCGUGAAAAAGCUUUUCACUUAAUGGCGCGUAUGUUGUUUUUUUUUUCUUCUCAUUUUUUGUACGUUUACGUUUCAUCAGUGCCGGUAAAUGUUCUACCGCGCGUUCGGUAGACUUUGAACAAAAUAACAGAACGCAAAUGGCGAUAUACCUAUACGGAGAUCAUAGAACAAGUCACCGUUCUCCGGGGUAUCUAUAAUUUAUACCGCAGGUGGAUCGAUCGGUUCCCGUUCUUUGUUUCGCGGCGGCGCUACCGACACGCACACCGAGGGCUAUAAACUCUCACUUCUUCGGCUGGUCGGGAACGAAAGCUGGAAAGAAAGUUUUUACUGAUUAUUCUCCAUAAAACACCCCGAAUAUACCACAGCUGCAAAUUGUUACCAGACUAGCGACGCUCCAUAAAAAUCAGGCGUCCAUAACUCCGUAGCCAGGAGAAACAGGGUUAAUUUAAUGACACGGAGUUAUAUAUAAAAACAUCCUGAUUCAGUAGCGAGAAACCGCAGUCUCUAUCUUACGAAAAACACCCCCGUCUCGUUACACAUUUUUAUCGGCGUAACGGUUUUUCCACCGUUCUUUUUCUCUCUUAUGCGUUUGGAAAAUCGCCACCCAUCUCCACAUCCGAACGCGGGACAAUCAAGGUUCAGAGUGCAGUUCCCACGAAGCUCUCGGUGAUAACGGUGGCACGACCAUCGUCGCAAGUGGAUAGGAUAACCCCGGUAUAUACGCGACGGAUACUUGAAAAUAACUAGACGAUAAAAAGGAGACCAGACCAUGUUGCACGGCCGUAGACGUUACCGCGCCGAUCUUGAGAGAGUAGCUACGUCGUCCGAUGAAGGGCUACCAGCGAUGUGUCGGAGGGACACACGGAGACCUGAGGGUGGAAGGAAAGGUUCGGAACAGUAGGUGUUGUAGGGUUCCCUCGGGAGUGAGUGAGGUUGGAGGCGGGAUAAUAGGGAUAAUAAAUGGUCUGAAACUAUUCAGCCACUGCUGCUACGUACGGGCCAUACCGGAGGCAACUUUUGCUUCUUCCCUGCACAAUUUUUUGAAGGGCCAAAAUCUCGACCAACGAUUGCCCUACCUUCGGAAUUUACGGAGGUCUCGCCAAAUUUUCAGUUUUAUUACCCCGACAGGUUUCCCUCGUAUUCCUCGCGAUACCGCUGCGUCUUUAAUUCAUAUCCAUCGCGGAAGUCGUUCGAAUUUUACGAUUUCACACUUGGGACUUCGACCUUGACUUUCUUCGCGAUUGACAUUUGAAACGGCUUCACCACUUCCCGGUCGGUUCGCCUGCUCGCAAACGGGGAGGCGAGAUGAACACAAAUUAUGGUCAUGGAAUGGAGAGUUCACCGCGACUCUGUCCCAGAUUUCAGCAGCGAUGUAAUUUCGUUAUAUUUACGUAGCACCUCGAGUGGCGAGAUAGAGGAAGUGGGAUAUAUCCCCUUGCAUACGAGUAUACGCCAAAUUCUGAUCCUUCCUAACCGGAGUUCGCGCAUGUUGUGUAAGCGCUUUUGUACACGGACCCAUCAUCCCGAUGUCUCAAAUGAAUUUGACGAUAUUACCUAGCACGUGCGUCGUCGUCUUAAAAUAACCAUAAGCAUACCUUCCCACCGACCUGCGGCCGUAUGUGAUAUCCACAUGCGACAAACCUCUGCUGAACUGAGAUAACCCGGUGUGCUUAGGUUAAUUGAAGCCGAUGUUAUAUUUCUCUAGCUUUGCUGUGUGCUGCAUCGGUUCGAGAGCACGUGCACCGUGGAAUUAUUUUCUCGCAACCCCUCGAUUACCUUCAUUGGCAAAAUGAACGUCUUCGUACCACUCCGUCACGACUGACAUUAAUUAUUUCACCGGUCCCACGCCCGUUACAUCGCGAAUUUUCUACGCUGUUCGGUAUCGUUAGGUGGAAGAAGCACGCCCGAGGAUAUCCGCAGGGGUGUUUUUUUUAUAGUCAGGACAUGGUCAAGCCGUGGACUCUAAAGUCGGUGUCGAUAGACGUCAGUUCAAUCGGGCAUCGGCAAUUAGCUAUUACCCACUCACUAGGUUACAUGUGUACGAUAUCCCGCAGGGCAUUUCACCCUUCGACAGGGUUAGGCUAAUUAACUGUAAUGGCUUACCACCUGGCCUAUUAGACGCAACUACGCAUAUUCCGUGCUCAAAGCACUUUAUGAUAGGGUGAGAUGCAUGGUUCCAUAAUGCAGCAUGGAAGAGAGGUACAUGUGUUGUACAGAUGUUGAAUGUGCAUAUAAUCAAUCUCACGAUCAACUAUUGCCGAAUUCCGAUGCCGCUCAAAGAAAAAGCUUUCUGCCAACAUUUUUUCACCCCUAGAACACUCCUGUAAUACGAAAAACAUGAGACGUCUGCAGAUCACCGUGAGAAUGUUUCGGAAUUAUAGCGAAUGAAAAGAGAUGGAUGGUCGGGGAACAUCGAUGCGCUUGCCAAACCACGACCCCGUAAAAAGGAGUUAACGAUGUAAUUCGCGGCCCCUAUCUUUACGUAUGACGUCGCAUGAUAUUAUUUAUAAUUCCAGCAAAAGCACCUUGCUUUUCGCCGGUUCUAUUGGUCAUACAGUCGAGAAAACUAAUAAAUCUUACCGAUUGUCAAGUGAAUCUUCCUUCGAGUUUUCCCAUCUCUAGUUCACGGUGAAAGUAUGAGAAUAUACAAAGGAGUAACAUUAGUUUGCGAGGGCUACAAAAAUUUCGUUGGCAUCGAUUGGGUCCAAGUAUAUCCCCUUGAAUACUGGAAGGCUCGUCGUUCUCCUCUGUCUUUGACAGUCGUUUUAACUUCUGAACCUUUCACCUGAUCUCUUCCGAUUCUCGGUAGGACACCUCCUUCUCGGAAAGCACCCCAACCCCCUUCUGCGACCUCGUUCAAGUUUGGUGAAAAUCGUUCACAGUUUCGGACCGGUUGCCACGAUCAAACUCAGACCAAUUCUUAACUCCGACAUAACAGAAAUUCGUUCAGGGGGUAUAAGGGAAUCGAAAAAUACGACGGUGGUGGUGACUGGCUGGUUUCAGGGAAAGGGUUAUCGCAGACUCGGAAUACACCCGUCACCGUGGCGAAGGGGUUGAACGCGUUCCUCCUCGUGAACGCGCGCGUUGCCCUUACGAGGAAAGUGUAUAUCCGUGUCCCAUCAGAUACGAUAUGCGACGCCACCACUUCAGGCCUACGGGAUCAGGGAAUAAUCUAUUAUAUAGCCUCUACGCCUCCUUGCCCCUCCCGUUUCAUUGGGAUAGAAUAUGUUCAGGCCUCCUAGAUAGUCCACUAAAAUUCACUCGACUAAAUAUUCAAAGGCAUUUCGCGAUGUUGAAAAAACAAAAGUCGAGCAUUUUUUCCCCCGUGCAAAAGCUUCGAUUUCUUGCACGGAACGCAGCAUCUUUAUGCCCGGUAAACGGUGCUUUUUAAAGUCACGUUUGAGAAGAGUUUGAUGUAAAAUGGACGUAUGAAUCGUCACGAUGUUUUCGAAUGACUUUGUAAAUUCCUGCGCACAAACUCAUUGAUUGGAAUUUGAAAAUAGCUCCAAAUAAAAAUAGGAAAGAAAUAUGUAGUAAAAAGAUUCUGUGCGGCGGAUUCUUUUGAUAGGUGCAGGAAUAGUCUGCAGGAAAAAUAAAUGUGCCCAUGUGGUUACCCACAAAUGUACCGGCCAGAUUGGAGCAGGGAGGGGUGCUGAUCGACGAUCGUCACCGAAACGUUACGACAAAGGGAUUAGCUAAUCGCGAAAAGCCGAUCGCCCGCUCGCUCUGUUCUCCCAGGUCCGUCGUGACGAGAACACGGAAUCGGAAGAUAUCUGAACGUCGACAGGCCGUAUCUACUACAUGGGAUGGUACUACAACCUCGUACCGAAGCAAAAGCCCGCAGCGGUUGUACGGAGAGAUCGUGGGGUGGUUUCAACUGGAAAACGAAGAUGCAUUGGAUGCUUUUCAACCUCGGCUUGGAUGCUACGACAGUUCAGCUUCAGCGACAGCCGUGGCGACAUCAAGAGCGACAUCAGUAGCAAUGCAGGUUCCUCAGAGCGACGAUGGAGAAAGAGAAUGAUGACCAUUGCGUGAUGGAACCGAAUCAGAACAUCACCGAGUCUUCUCGACGAGAUACAUCCCUUCGUCUUCACCCAGUCGAGAUGGAUCUGCAACACAUGAGACGUCCAACUUCUUCUCUGCAGAGGUCGCAGUUCCUUCAACAUCAUUGCCCGGACUCCCCCUGUUCAUCAGGGGGAGUCCACUGACCCGUCC